Molecule: ribosomal RNA, 253 nt
Filed under: uncultured bacterium
Lineage: Bacteria
Description: partial 16S ribosomal RNA
Rfam family: Bacterial small subunit ribosomal RNA
Source: RNAcentral
UACGUAGGGUGCGAGCGUUGUCCGGAAUUAUUGGGCGUAAAGAGCUUGUAGGCGGUUUGUCGCGUCUGCUGUGAAAAUCCGGGGCUCAACCCCGGACUUGCAGUGGGUACGGGCAGACUAGAGUGUGGUAGGGGAGACUGGAAUUCCUGGUGUAGCGGUGGAAUGCGCAGAUAUCAGGAGGAACACCGGUGGCGAAGGCGGUUCUCUGGGCCUGUACUGACGCUGAGGAACGAAAGCGUGGGGAGCGAACAGG